This 494-nucleotide ribosomal RNA is filed under the name uncultured bacterium. RNAcentral describes it as "partial 16S ribosomal RNA". It matches the Rfam family "Bacterial small subunit ribosomal RNA", at positions 899 to 1397 of the family's 1533-position model. The record is from RNAcentral.
ACUCAAAGGAAUAGACGGGGACCCGCACAAGCGGUGGAUGAUGUGGAUUAAUUCGAUGCAACGCGAACAACCUUACCUACCCUUGACAUGUCUGGAAUCCUGCUGAGAGGCGGGAGUGCUCGAAAGAGAACCGGAACACAGGUGCUGCAUGGCUGUCGUCAGCUCGUGUCGUGAGAUGUUGGGUUAAGUCCCGCAACGAGCGCAACCCUUGUCCCUAGUUGCUACGCAAGGGCACUCUAGGGAGACUGCCGGUGACAAACCGGAGGAAGGUGGGGAUGACGUCAAGUCCUCAUGGCCCUUAUGGGUAGGGCUUCACACGUCAUACAAUGGACGGUACAGAGGGUUGCCAAACCGCGAGGUGGAGCCAAUCCCAGAAAGCCGUUCGUAGUCCGGAUUGCAGUCUGCAACUCGACUGCAUGAAGUCGGAAUCGCUAGUAAUCGCGGAUCAGCAUGUCGCGGUGAAUACGUUCCCGGGUCUUGCACACACCGCCCGU